RNAcentral lists this ribosomal RNA (497 nucleotides) under uncultured bacterium. Its description in RNAcentral is "partial 16S ribosomal RNA". It matches the Rfam family "Bacterial small subunit ribosomal RNA", at positions 28 to 507 of the family's 1533-position model. The record is from RNAcentral.
GAUGAACGCUGGCGGCGUGCCUAAUACAUGCAAGUCGAGCGAACAGACGAGGAGCUUGCUCCUCUGACGUUAGCGGCGGACGGGUGAGUAACACGUGGAUAACCUACCUAUAAGACUGGGAUAACUUCGGGAAACCGGAGCUAAUACCGGAUAAUAUAUUGAACCGCAUGGUUCAAUAGUGAAAGACGGUUUUGCUGUCACUUAUAGAUGGAUCCGCGCCGCAUUAGCUAGUUGGUAAGGUAACGGCUUACCAAGGCGACGAUGCGUAGCCGACCCGAGAGGGUGAUCGGCCACACUGGAACUGAGACACGGUCCAGACUCCUACGGGAGGCAGCAGUAGGGAAUCUUCCGCAAUGGGCGAAAGCCUGACGGAGCAACGCCGCGUGAGUGAUGAAGGUCUUCGGAUCGUAAAACUCUGUUAUUAGGGAAGAACAAACGUGUAAGUAACUAUGCACGUCUUGACGGUACCUAAUCAGAAAGCCACGGCUAACUACGUG